GAGGAAAUGAGCUUCACGGGGAAAGAGCGAGCGAAGAACAAACGUAUGGAGGGAAGGCGAGGAACAGCGAGAUUAAGAGAAAACAAAAGGGCAGCAGAGAAAGCAAAAGCCGAAAGGAAAUCAAGGAAAAAAGAAUGAGUUGGAUGAGAAACCAAGAAAUAGAAAAAGGGUAGAGAAAACAAAAGAAUUAGCCGCAAAUGAACACGAAGCCGGCGAAGCUGCUUGAGGCGGCGGAGCAAACGGAAAGCGG
This 250-nucleotide unclassified non-coding RNA is filed under the name Hevea brasiliensis (rubber tree). Lineage: Eukaryota; Viridiplantae; Streptophyta; Magnoliopsida; Malpighiales; Euphorbiaceae. The record is from RNAcentral.